This 1688-nucleotide ribosomal RNA is filed under the name Klebsiella pneumoniae. Its description in RNAcentral is "bacterial LSU rRNA". It matches the Rfam family "Bacterial large subunit ribosomal RNA", at positions 1271 to 2925 of the family's 2925-position model. The record is from RNAcentral. Lineage: Bacteria; Pseudomonadati; Pseudomonadota; Gammaproteobacteria; Enterobacterales; Enterobacteriaceae.
UGCUGGAGGUAUCAGAAGUGCGAAUGCUGACAUAAGUAACGAUAAAGCGGGUGAAAAGCCCGCUCGCCGGAAGACCAAGGGUUCCUGUCCAACGUUAAUCGGGGCAGGGUGAGUCGACCCCUAAGGCGAGGCCGAAAGGCGUAGUCGAUGGGAAACAGGUUAAUAUUCCUGUACUUGGUGUUACUGCGAAGGGGGGACGGAGAAGGCUAUGUUAGCCGGGCGACGGUUGUCCCGGUUUAAGCAUGUAGGCUGGUUAUCCAGGCAAAUCCGGAUAAUCAAGGCUGAGGUGUGAUGACGAGGCACUACGGUGCUGAAGUAACAAAUGCCCUGCUUCCAGGAAAAGCCUCUAAGCAUCAGGUAACAUCAAAUCGUACCCCAAACCGACACAGGUGGUCAGGUAGAGAAUACCAAGGCGCUUGAGAGAACUCGGGUGAAGGAACUAGGCAAAAUGGUGCCGUAACUUCGGGAGAAGGCACGCUGGUGUGUAGGUGAAGCCCCUGCGGGUGGAGCUGAGACCAGUCGAAGAUACCAGCUGGCUGCAACUGUUUAUUAAAAACACAGCACUGUGCAAACACGAAAGUGGACGUAUACGGUGUGACGCCUGCCCGGUGCCGGAAGGUUAAUUGAUGGGGUUAUCCGUAAGGAGAAGCUCUUGAUCGAAGCCCCGGUAAACGGCGGCCGUAACUAUAACGGUCCUAAGGUAGCGAAAUUCCUUGUCGGGUAAGUUCCGACCUGCACGAAUGGCGUAAUGAUGGCCAGGCUGUCUCCACCCGAGACUCAGUGAAAUUGAACUCGCUGUGAAGAUGCAGUGUACCCGCGGCAAGACGGAAAGACCCCGUGAACCUUUACUAUAGCUUGACACUGAACAUUGAGCCUUGAUGUGUAGGAUAGGUGGGAGGCUUUGAAGCGUGGACGCCAGUCUGCGUGGAGCCAACCUUGAAAUACCACCCUUUAAUGUUUGAUGUUCUAACGUUGGCCCCUUACCGGGGUUGCGGACAGUGUCUGGUGGGUAGUUUGACUGGGGCGGUCUCCCUCCCAAAGCGUAACGGAGGAGCACGAAGGUUAGCUAAUCCUGGUCGGACAUCAGGAGGUUAGUGCAAUGGCAUAAGCUAGCUUGACUGCGAGCGUGACGGCGCGAGCAGGUGCGAAAGCAGGUCAUAGUGAUCCGGUGGUUCUGAAUGGAAGGGCCAUCGCUCAACGGAUAAAAGGUACUCCGGGGAUAACAGGCUGAUACCGCCCAAGAGUUCAUAUCGACGGCGGUGUUUGGCACCUCGAUGUCGGCUCAUCACAUCCUGGGGCUGAAGUAGGUCCCAAGGGUAUGGCUGUUCGCCAUUUAAAGUGGUACGCGAGCUGGGUUUAGAACGUCGUGAGACAGUUCGGUCCCUAUCUGCCGUGGGCGCUGGAGAAUUGAGGGGGGCUGCUCCUAGUACGAGAGGACCGGAGUGGACGCAUCACUGGUGUUCGGGUUGUCAUGCCAAUGGCACUGCCCGGUAGCUAAAUGCGGAAGAGAUAAGUGCUGAAAGCAUCUAAGCACGAAACUUGCCCCGAGAUGAGUUCUCCCUGAGACUUUAAGUCUCCUGAAGGAACGUUAAAGACGAUGACGUUGAUAGGCCGGGUGUGUAAGCGCAGCGAUGCGUUGAGCUAACCGGUACUAAUGAACCGUGAGGCUUAACCUUACAACGCCGAAG